AAAUAUGCAAGCUAAUGAAAUUUUAAAAAAUAUAGCCAAAAUCUAAAGUCAUUUAUGAUUUUAGCAAACUUUCUUUUUUUUUCUCUCCCAUUUUUUCAAACACACUAUUUUAUUUUAUUUGUACAAAUUAUAAAGCGUAUGAAAAAAUUUCCAACUCGAACGCGUUAAAUAAACCUCUCAAAAAUAUAAGAUAAUCGGUCCAAUAUUAUCCGUCACAUUUUAUUAAAAUGAAGUUAGACAACUCCCAAAAUGCAAUUUUCACCAUUUCUAUAACGUCGUCGAACUUGAACUUGUCAAUUAACACAUUUUAUUAACAGUAUUUAGUUCAAAGAUGCCUUUUUUUUUAUUUCUUUCUUUUUUCCUUUUUUGGGCCAAUGGAAAAAAAAAAGAAAAGAAAAGAAAAGGGUAUCAUAGAUAUUUUCGGCCAGUCAAAAGUCAAAACGGAGCUUUCAUAGGUACUAUAAUACAAUAGACCCUCCAACAAGCGAUUACUUGUUUGUGAUUGAUUUGAUUAGGGACUGCGGGUAGGGAAGGGCGGUUAACUUUCGGACGUGGAAGCAUCUAAGAGGAUCAAAUUUUCAGGAAUCAAAACGAAAGACAAGCGGUUAAUCCGGAGCUUCUAAUUGAAACACUGGGGUCGUUUCUGAUCUAAAUGGGCCCCACCUUCAGCCCAUAGCCGUGACAGGGGAUCUUGGCUUUAUUUGAUAAAAUCCACUGUAUGCGUCCAGGGCACGUGGGCUCUUUUUCUACGUUCUUGACCACUUCAAGGUGCCCCUUCAAGUUAAGGGCCUCCCGGGCAGAUGCCCCUCCAUAGGUCAUAUCACAUGUGGACCGUCCUUAUCUAACCGGCACUGCUAUUGUCCCCUUGUUUGUUCUGUUUGCUUCCGUCACAGACACACCCGCUACGUGGGAGUGUGUCUGUCUGUAUGUGCCGGUGCCCUCCAAAUGAGUGGUUCGUUGAACAAACCAUAGAUCGUAAUUAAGCAAAUUAAUUAUAUGAUUGCAUAAAUAUUACAAAGCGAAAUGAAUAUUAUUGAAUCCGAAAAUUUAUACAUUAAUAUGGUUGACUUUUUUUUUAAUUUUAAUAAUCUCGAAUGUUUUACUUUUACAUAAAUUUAGCUUUUUUUUUUCUUUUUUAAUAUGUAUGAAGACCGUACAUAUCCCACAUGAUUUAAAAAAUGUUGCACUACUCCAACUAUUAAAAACACCUCCAUUUAAACUUCGUUAUUUCCACAUUUCUAUUUAUGCACCAUCCCAAUACAAUUUUCUUUGUAUUUUUUAUUUCUUUUUCAUUAAGGGAAAAAAAUUAUGUUAUAUCACUCAACUAAUUGUUUAACCAACGGUGGUAGUGAAAAAAAAAAAAACAGGUAAGGUUAUAUUUUCAAUUUGUGCAAACAUUUAUAACCAUAACAUUACUCAAAAUAUAAUAGUCAAGUAUUACACUCAUUACGUUUUUCAAUAACAAUAAUAAUAAUAAUAUACUUAUUUAAUUGAAAUACUUAGUUUAUAUUCCAACUGAUGUAAUAAAUAAUGUACCACUAUUUGAUUGACUUAAGUAAUAGUUUAUAAUUAACUAUUAUUAUUUCUAAUUUAAAUGAUAAAUGACACAUCAAUUAAGAUGCAAAGUUUGCAUUCCAACUAAAUAAACAUAGCAUUAUCUACAUGGUCAUAAUUCUAAAAAAAAAUAAUAAUUAAUUAUUAUCUCUCUUAAUUUUUUUACGAUGCUUUAUUUAUUUUUUUAAUAGACAAAAAUAAUGUUAAGUCAGACCCAAUCUAUCCUAUUCACAAUUAAAUGAGUAGACCCAAUCUAUCCUAUUCACAAUUAAAUGAGUAGGUCAGAUAGAAUGUAACAUUAUUUUUGUAAGCAUUUUCUCUAAUUUCUUUUUCGCAAUAGUAUUUUUUCAAGUAAAAUUAAAAAAAAAAAUCAAAUGUGGACCAUUUCUCAAUCGAACUUAAACCAACAAAACGUGAAAAAAAAGAAAGAAAAGAAAAUUGUUUUUACGUUCUUAUCAUUCUAUCCACGUUAGCAUUAACUUUUUAUUCUUUUUAAUAUACCAAUAAAUAUUUUUGCAUGAUUCGAUUUCCAAAAUUGGCAUAUCAAAUCAAGCAGAGGGCUCAAAAGAAAACAACGACCAUAUCAAUUAUUUGCUCUAAUUCGAUGAUAUUUUCACGUGUUGUUACUAUUAUUAUUAUUAUUACUUAUUUUUUUGCAUGAAGAUAAAGCUUAUCUUCUGAACACGUGUCACCAGAUGCGGCAUUCGAUCAAAACUUUUUUUUUUCAAUUACAAAAUGAUAUCAUUUUAAAUUGGAAAUUGCAAUCAAAUUGAUGUGGGUUUGGGCUCGUCGUAUUUUAAAAUAGUUUAUGAAAUAAUUAUUUUAAAAAAAAAUCAUAUGGUGAAGGUAAAUUUUGACAUCUAUUUAGAGAUGGUAAAAUUCUCCACGGGUUUGGUAUAAAUGGAGUCACACCCCAAAUAGAGAAAAUUUUUAAUAAUUUUUGGGAAAUUGGGUGGGGAGUAUGGGAAAAAUAAUCCCCAAAUGAUUAACGAGGUGGGAUUUGGUAUUGCACUCCCCACCCCACCUCCAACUCAAUCUCCAUUAUAUAUAAAUAUGUUUUUAAUUCUUAUUUAAUAAUUUUUAGUUUAUCAACUAUAAU
Molecule: long non-coding RNA, 2653 nt
Filed under: Citrus x clementina
Lineage: Eukaryota; Viridiplantae; Streptophyta; Magnoliopsida; Sapindales; Rutaceae
Description: Citrus clementina (C. clementina) long non-coding RNA (CCLE_LNC000834)
Source: RNAcentral